This 467-nucleotide ribosomal RNA is filed under the name uncultured bacterium. Its description in RNAcentral is "bacterial SSU rRNA". It matches the Rfam family "Bacterial small subunit ribosomal RNA", at positions 28 to 524 of the family's 1533-position model. The record is from RNAcentral.
GACGAACGCUGGCGGCAUGCCUAACACAUGCAAGUCUAGGGGUAGCAAUACCACUGGCGCACGGGUGAGUAACACGUAGGUUAUCUGCCCCCAUCACAGACAUAACCCCGGGAAACCGGGGCUAAUAUCUGAUGAGGUCGCGAGAUCAAAGCUUCGGCGGAUGGGGAUGAGCCUGCGGCUGAUUAGCUAGUUGGUGAGGUAAUGGCUCACCAAGGCGACGAUCAGUAGCUGGUCUGAGAGGACGAACAGCCACACUGGAACUGAGACACGGUCCAGACUCCUACGGGAGGCAGCAGUGAGGAAUAUUGGUCAAUGGGGAGCAAUCCUGAACCAGCAAUGCCGCGUGUGGGAUGACAGGGCUUCGCCUUGUAAACCACUGUCGGACGGGACGAAAGGAGGCCUCGGGCCUCUGGGACGGUACCGUCAAAGGAAGGGUCGGCUAACUACGUGCCAGCAGCCGCGGUAAU